This is a long non-coding RNA of Vombatus ursinus (common wombat), 1643 nucleotides long. NCBI's taxonomy places the organism in Eukaryota, Metazoa, Chordata, Mammalia, Diprotodontia, Vombatidae. The record is from Ensembl.
UUCUCACGCUUCUGAUUGCUUUCUCCUUCCUUUUCUCUUUCUAGAUUUAGAUAUGGCCAGAGACCCCAAGGGGAGCCGGGCCCGGCCUGGCCAGAAGCGACAGCACAGCGCUACCCUCUACCACAGUAACUGUGACCUGAACUAUGAGCUGUAUCGGGAAGACUUCCCCUACAGGUUGUAUGAGUAUCAGAGGAUCCCCCCACUUAUCAACCGAGCACCUGUCAAGAGCAGACGGACCCACAUGGGCGCAGGAGGCAAGAGUGGCCUCAGUCCCCACAUUCCUCCACGAAGCAACAACCCACCCCCCGUCCGGACAAAGUUAAGAGCCGAGGAGCUGCACUCAAUCAAGGGGGAGCUGAGCCAGAUCAAGGUCCAGGUGGACAGUCUGCUCGAGAGCCUGGAGCGUAUGGACCAGCGGCGAGACCGGCUGGGAGGGCCCCAAGACGGUGAGAAGAAGGCGGCCUCAGCCAGCGGAGAAUCCCCCAGUGCAGCAGCUGAGGCCCAGCGAGAGCCCCGGGGCAAGGAGAGCCCAGAGCCCAGAGCCCGCAGCCGAAGGGAUGCCGACAGUGCGGAGGAGAGCACGGACACGGAGGAGGCGGGGAGGAUGAAAAAUCACACCUUGGACCCCGAUGGGAGUCAGUAGAAGCUCUGGGGCCCCUGCUGUGGCCUCCCCAGCUCGGAUCCUUUCCUUUUCCUGUGUUUGUAUUUCUUUGAGGCCUCCCAGCCAGUGCCACGUGUCUCCUGCCCUCCAUUCUCCCCGCUGUUACAGUAGAGCCUCGUCUGCUCCUGCCCACGGGAGCCUGCUGGGUGUCCUGCAUUCUCUACAGAACCCGUAGAAGUCCCUGAGGUGCCGGCCUGCAGUAAUGGGUCUGGGGAGGCAGGAAAAUGCAGCAGGUCUAGAACUUCCUUUUGAAUACCAACCCUUCUUUCCUCUGUGUUGGUCCCCCCAUCCCAUGAAAAAGGGGUUCCCUUGGUAGUAAGACUUGGCAGGACAGGGGCAUUUGGGGAAGAGUCUGGGCAGACCCCUCAGUUCCAAAUUCAUCCUUCUCUUCCCUCACCAAGAUGCUCAGUGAUGUUUUUCAGUUCCCCACCCCUCCUGGGUACCCUCAGCAUCUCUCUUGGGGGAGAACUGGUGCCAUCCCACCCCUUGACCUCUCUGGCAUAGUCAGCUUGUAACAGUAUUUGCUCUUUUCCUGGCCCCAGCAGAAAGUGGUUUGUCUAAGACACCACCCAGGUUCUGCUCCCCACGUCAGCCAUUUAACAUGGAAACCCCCAGUGUUCCUUCUGGGGCUCCCUCAGCUGUCCUUCCUCCCAGCAGCGUGAGGAGAGGGGAUCGAUGUCCCUGAGAAGGCCAACCAAGCCAAAUGUUAGCUCCAUCUCAGCUCCCGUGGCUCACCGAGGUUUCCCCUUUUUCCGGGAUCACGUGGCUUCAAUGUUUUGCACUACUAGCCUUCACGUGACCCCUUUCUCUCCCCCUGGUCCCCACAGAAUUCCAUACCCCAGUGGUGCAUGGGAAAUGAAUUCUGUUUCUGACAGGUGCAUUUCUGCUCCAUAGAAGAUAGUCAGGUCCUUGGUUGAUGUUGCUCUGGUUAACCCUGUUAUUUCCCUGCUUUCCCUCCCUCUUCCCCCCCGUGCCGUCCUUU